UACAGAGGAGGCGAGCGUUAUCCGGAGUUAUUGGGCGUAAAGGGUACGUAGGCGGUUGGUCAAGUCUGGGGUUAAAGACCACAGCUUAACUGUGGGGGGGCGUUGGAAACUGACCGGCUGGAGUUGUGCAGGGGUUGCGGGAAUUCCCGGUGUAGCGGUGAAAUGCGUAGAUAUCGGGAAGAGCACCUGAGGCGAAAGCACGCAACUGGACCCUAACUGACGCUGAGGUACGAAAGCUAGGGGAGCGAAAGGG
This 253-nucleotide ribosomal RNA is filed under the name uncultured bacterium. RNAcentral describes it as "partial 16S ribosomal RNA". It matches the Rfam family "Bacterial small subunit ribosomal RNA", at positions 524 to 776 of the family's 1533-position model. The record is from RNAcentral.